UGGGGAAUCUUGGGCAAUGGGCGCAAGCCUGACCCAGCCAUGCCGCGUGUGUGAAGAAGGCCUUCGGGUUGUAAAGCACUUUCAGUGGCGAAGAAAAGCCGGCGGUGAAUAGCCGCGGGUCUUGACGUUAACCACAGAAGAAGCACCGGCUAACUCCGUGCCAGCAGCCGCGGUAAUACGGAGGGUGCGAACGUUAAUCGGAAUUACUGGGCGUAAAGCGCGCGUAGGCGGUUCGGUAAGUGGGGUGUGAAAGCCCCGGGCUCAACCUGGGAAUUGCAUUCCAAACUGCCGGACUCGAGUAUGGUAGAGGGAGGUAGAAUUUCCUGUGUAGCGGUGGAAUGCGUAGAUAUAGGAAGGAAUACCAAUGGCGAAGGCAGCCUCCUGGACCAAUACUGACGCUGAGGUGCGAAAGCGUGGGGAGCAAACAGGAUUAGAUACCCCCGUAGUCC
RNAcentral lists this ribosomal RNA (449 nucleotides) under uncultured prokaryote. RNAcentral describes it as "bacterial SSU rRNA". It matches the Rfam family "Bacterial small subunit ribosomal RNA", at positions 355 to 796 of the family's 1533-position model. The record is from RNAcentral.